Molecule: long non-coding RNA, 525 nt
Organism: Populus euphratica (Euphrates poplar)
Lineage: Eukaryota; Viridiplantae; Streptophyta; Magnoliopsida; Malpighiales; Salicaceae
Exons: 2
Source: RefSeq, a predicted model, not a curated record
ACAAAAACAUAUUAGAGAAGGGCAAAAGGAAGUCAGAGAGAAGUUUGAAGAGAUUGAGUUUCAAUGUGAUGAACUCAAAAAGGAAACGUUCCUGAUAUCACAACAAGCUGCAAGCAAUCAGAAGCGCCUAAAUCUCAUGUUCAAAAUUUUGAAAGCACGAGAUGAGAACAAUUUUCAUGAAGCUGCCAGUCUUACCCAGUCUCUUCGAGAAUGCAUGAGAAGCAAAUCACAGAGCAAUACUCAAGUGGUUGUGGAUGCGAGUGGCACAGUUGGAAAAGAAUAACAGGAAUCAGCCAUGCAUGAAAUCCAAGAUCACUGGAAAUGGCUUUAUGGGUGUGUUUUCAAUAAUUUGGCUUGUCAUGUAAGUAACUGUUGGAGUGUUAAGAUCAAUAGCUUUCAACUGUUAGUUUGUUUUAAAAUUAAUGUUGAAUCUGCUACUUUGAUUGUUGCAAACGCUUAUGUUGAGUCUGGCUUUGCUUAUUAGCUACUGGAAUGGCCUAAAAGUUAAUAAUCUCUUUUACUAUG